CUCGCGGCAGAAGUUGUGGCCGCAGUCGGUCAUCACAGGGUCGGUGAAGUAGUCAAGGCAGAUGGCGCAGGUGGCCUCCUCCUGGAGGUCCUCACGCAGAACGUGCAAUGUCACAGCCUGUUCCAGAACAGAACAGAAUGAUAUGGACCCGCCCAACCCCCCACCAUGGUCUUCCAUCAUGGUAUCCAGCCUAUCCUGCCAAAGACACAUCAUCUGCACGGUUUCCCCAGAUGUAGCCAGUUACCCAGCUUCCUCCUCCUCCAGGCUAUAUGAGCCCUUGCAGAGUCCUAAAAUGAGUAGAAGGAAGAAUUUUCCUCUCUCUUUCCCUCUCUUUCUGCCCCUCCCAU
This is a long non-coding RNA of Hyaena hyaena (striped hyena), 347 nucleotides long. RefSeq lists it as uncharacterized. NCBI's taxonomy places the organism in Eukaryota, Metazoa, Chordata, Mammalia, Carnivora, Hyaenidae. The record is from RefSeq and is a predicted model, not a curated record. The transcript has 3 exons.